RNAcentral lists this transfer RNA (72 nucleotides) under Elusimicrobiota bacterium. RNAcentral's name for it is "Elusimicrobia bacterium (bioreactor metagenome) tRNA-Gln". It matches the Rfam family "tRNA". From Rfam's summary of the family: Transfer RNA (tRNA) molecules are approximately 80 nucleotides in length. The record is from RNAcentral. Lineage: Bacteria; Pseudomonadati; Elusimicrobiota.
UGGGGCGUCGCCAAGCGGUAAGGCAACGGCCUUUGGAGCCGUUAUCCCUAGGUUCGAAUCCUAGCGCCCCAG